This 253-nucleotide ribosomal RNA is filed under the name uncultured bacterium. RNAcentral's name for it is "partial 16S ribosomal RNA". It matches the Rfam family "Bacterial small subunit ribosomal RNA", at positions 524 to 776 of the family's 1533-position model. The record is from RNAcentral.
UACGAAGGGGGCUAGCGUUGCUCGGAAUCACUGGGCGUAAAGCGCACGUAGGCGGCUUUCUAAGUCAGGGGUGAAAUCCUGGAGCUCAACUCCAGAACUGCCUUUGAUACUGGAGAGCUUGAGUCCGGGAGAGGUGAGUGGAACUCCGAGUGUAGAGGUGAAAUUCGUAGAUAUGGGGAGGAACACCGGUGGCGAAGGCGGCCAUCUGGACGGAUACUGACGCUGAGACGCGAAAGCGUGGGGAGCAAACAGG